This 270-nucleotide ribosomal RNA is filed under the name uncultured Bacteroides sp. RNAcentral describes it as "partial 16S ribosomal RNA". It matches the Rfam family "Bacterial small subunit ribosomal RNA", at positions 75 to 339 of the family's 1533-position model. The record is from RNAcentral. Lineage: Bacteria; Pseudomonadati; Bacteroidota; Bacteroidia; Bacteroidales; Bacteroidaceae.
UUGCUAAGGCUGAUGGCGACCGGCGCACGGGUGAGUAACACGUAUCCAACCUGCCGUCUACUCUUGGCCAGCCUUCUGAAAGGAAGAUUAAUCCAGGAUGGGAUCAUGAGUUCACAUGUCCGCAUGUUCACAUGAUUAAAGGUAUUCCGGUAGACGAUGGGGAUGCGUUCCAUUAGAUAGUAGGCGGGGUAACGGCCCACCUAGUCUUCGAUGGAUAGGGGUUCUGAGAGGAAGGUCCCCACAUUGGAACUGAGACACGGUCCAAACUCC